AAUUCUCAACUGCCCUUUGAUUUAUUUUCGAGGGGUGGCUUGGAUUUUGGGAGUUGCCGGCUGACCCUAGUCGGCUCUCCUUAAAAGCAUUAGUGAAAGGUGGCAAGCCCUGCAUGCACGGCCUUCGACGUGAUAAUGAUCGUCGUGGCUGGAGUGCGAGGCAUAGAUCUGACCUUUGCUUCUAAACAUCGUAUCGGGGACUUUUUGCUUCGGCAGACACGAACCUUUACUUUCUGACG
Molecule: unclassified non-coding RNA, 239 nt
Filed under: uncultured Melanogastraceae
Lineage: Eukaryota; Fungi; Basidiomycota; Agaricomycetes; Boletales; Melanogastraceae
Description: sequence contains ITS2
Source: RNAcentral